GUCUCCAUUGCUUUGGAAGUUACAGUGGAGUGUAUAUAUAUAUAUAUAUAUAUACACACACAC
RNAcentral lists this small RNA (63 nucleotides) under Salix viminalis (osier). The record is from RNAcentral. Lineage: Eukaryota; Viridiplantae; Streptophyta; Magnoliopsida; Malpighiales; Salicaceae.